RNAcentral lists this long non-coding RNA (762 nucleotides) under Homo sapiens (human). RNAcentral describes it as "HSALNT0324549". The record is from RNAcentral. Lineage: Eukaryota; Metazoa; Chordata; Mammalia; Primates; Hominidae.
GUCCCACUUAAAGAAGCAGCCUGGCCACAAGCUGGCAAAGCCGCUGUGCUGCGUUGGGGUGACCCUUCCUGGUGCAGACUGUUUGGACUCUCCAAAGCCAGCAGGCUGGAACAGCUCAGUUAUCCAAACAGCAAAGAUGACCGCCUGCCCCUCUCCUCCAGGGCUCCGUCCUGUCUCAGGCAAGCUCCACCCUGGUGCCAGUGGCUGGCUGGAAUUCCACGCCAGGGGGUCUUAUUUUGUGAGGUGCUGUGGAAGUGGGGCCUGCGUACUGAUGCCACUCAGCCCCCUGGAUUCAGCUCCCUUUCUAGGGUGAUGGUCGCCCCAUUGCGUAUAGAGGAAAUGGAGGAAAACUUGGAAGUACCGCCUUCCAUACAAAGUCAAGGAUCGAGACCUUCCUCUCCGCGUUCCAGAAUCCCUCAGGAAAUACGCGCGUGCCUUCGCAUCUAGAGCAAGCGCUGCAAGAAUUCACAGAACGGCCAGAAGUUCCCCAUCCCGCUGGUGGCACUCACUGCGUUAGGCGCUCAGCCUCCAGUCCGGGCCGCUUUGGCUUGAAGACGGCCGUUUUCCUUCCUGAUACCUGCUUCUAGUCUUUCUGCAACUUCUGGAUUCCUGUCAUUCUUAUACCUGCUCUGGGCAGCCUUCCAUUCAUUCUGCGAAUUCCGUGAAGCUUUUCAAUAAAUUGCUUUUCUCCAAUUAGCCUAAAUCUCUUUCAGUUAUUGGCAGCCCAGUGCCCUGACCCAGCCAAGCACUGUAGACAGUCUA